Molecule: long non-coding RNA, 10615 nt
Filed under: Triticum aestivum (bread wheat)
Lineage: Eukaryota; Viridiplantae; Streptophyta; Magnoliopsida; Poales; Poaceae
Description: long non-coding RNA (TAES_LNC012852)
Source: RNAcentral
CCCGUUGGUUGCAUUUGUUGCAAUAGUUAUCAUGUCUCAUGUUCAUUUUGUUCUUGCUUUCGGAACAUUGUGUUGUGCUGCAAGAUGCGACUUUCUGUUAAACUGGCUGUGUGUACUUUGUGUUGAGGGUAUGUGUUCGAACUCAGGUUGGGAGCGUCCUGUUUGUAACAUUUGCUGUAAAGUAGUUCCAUUAUCUUAUGAUAGUGGAACUAGAGUCGUAUGGAUAGAAUAAUGAAUUUACUGUAUGAAAGAUAGCAAACUAUUUUAAUUAAUCUCUUCUACCACAUCAUUUUACUCAAAAAUUCACAUAAAUUAUAUAAAUACUAAUUGUGUUGUUUAAAGAUAUCUUGUAGUUAAAAAGCACAUCCAUAGUUAAAGCUAAGUAUAGAAUGCUUUAAGGGGGAGACCAUUGCUUCUGUCUACCUUCUUUUUAUUAUACCCAUAAAUAUGUCAUAACAUGUUGCUGGCUUACCUGAACCAAGUCCUUUAUGCUGUACUAGGACUAGGAGUCUAGCUGUAAUUAGUAAUACACUUCAUAUGGCUAAGUUGAAAACUAGUCAUAAAGAAGAAUCAGAUGAUGUGCUGUACAUUAGGUUAUGUCAGGGUAAUAAGUUUGGUGAUCUUCAAAGAUUCAGUCAUAAGUUCCUUCAGAUUACACAAGGAGGUCAGGAUGUCAGAAUACCCACAGGAUACGAAGGCAGAGAGAUCCGUGCCGGAUAUGCUACAGUACUAGUGUGUGCCGGAUAUGCUACGGGACACAGUUUGCCAGUUGGCCGCUUCUGAAGGUUCAAAUAGAAGAUCUUAAUUCUGAUGCUUGAUGAUACUCAGGAAUCUGCUUAUUCCUGAACACCCGGAAAAAUGUGAUUCUAUUUUAAAAGGGUAGUGUUUUUAUUUAGGAUCAUGUCACACACUAGCCAGUGUUAAGGUGAUUUUGUUGAGCCUAUAGUUGCAAAAACUGAGUGUGUCUUCCUUAUUCUUUUUUUGUCGCUGAAAUGCCCUUUUAGCUAAUAUUGCUGGAUCUCGCAGAAAUCUUGAUGCUGCAGUAGCUCAGUCGUGCAUUAGUUUUUUUUCUUGGGAAAAGGAGGAUGCCUUUUUUCCACAGAGUCCUGUUAUGCAUAUGAUUCUUUAUGUACGAUUCUUGUAGAAACACAGCACAUCAACCAGUUCUUGGGGUGGAACAGAAAAUACAGCACAACACUGGUUCUUCCAUCGUAAAUGGAUUGUAUCACAAAAUGUCGUAUGUGCAGCAGUUACAAUUUUCCUGUGCACCACAAAAUUUUCCUGUGUAUCACAAAAUUUCCAGUAGUUUGCGGGGGGAACCCUUUUUCGUCAAAAUUCCAGUAGUUUGCAAGGUGUUCAAAACAAAGCAUUAAACACAUGGUACCCCUUAUCUUUGCCAUUUUUUGUGUUCUAUAGCUCAGGCUACAUGGUACCCCUUAUCUUUGCCAUCCAUUUCUGCAUCGCGAUCCGUGUAGAUGCAUUUGUCUUUUUUAUUUCUCUCAAAUGACACAACAUAUAAACUUCAAAUUUUGCAGAACAACAAUACAUUCUAACUACAAUCUGGAAAAAAACUUUCAGAUUUUUUCAUGCAUUUUAAAUACUUAAAAUAAUAUUUUUAGUCAAACAAAAUCUCAUUUGGUAUAUUUAUAUCAGACCAAAAAAUCUGAAAGUUUUUUCACACGUUGAUGUUUUAAUGUUUGUUCGAUCUGCAAAGUUUGAAGUUCAUAUGUUGUUUCAUUUUAGAGAAACAAAAAAGAGAAAUCUACUUGUCGUAAGUUAGUUGGAGAGUACGGAUCUCAAAGCAAGGCUGGAGGGUUGAGGAUAAGAGGUUUCAUGUAGCCUGAGCUACAAAGGAACUUUGUGUUUAAACACAUACCACUCUCUGUUCACUAGAAUGCAUGUGUACCUGUACGGCAGGUCAAACCCAGUAUUUGAGCUGAUUGUCGACAAUCAGCUCAAAUACUGGGUUUGACCUGCCGUACAGGUACACAUGCGCUGUGGUCAAUGCUCAAUGCGAAGCUGUUCUGAUAAGUUAGGGGGCCGGACGGAUUAUAUGUCUGACUGAUUUGUUGCAACCUAUGAUUGUUGUGAAUGUUCACAUACUUUCUAUGGAUAUAUAUGGUUACCAGGCCCAGCGGCGCUUCGACUUCUUGCUCGUUUGGACAAUGAUCAGGCUGCUGCUGUACAACAAGCGUAAUGACUACUGCAUCAUGCUACAAGUCAAGCUACAUCAGUUCGAGUCUCCACAAUUACAUUAAAUUCAACGCUGAGAGGCGGAUCUUUCCCCCUCGGCCGCAUUUGUUGUAACAGUUGUAAUGUCUCAUGCAUGCUUUAUUUGUUGUUGGCUUCUGAAGCCUUGUGCUGUGCCGCAAGGUGUGAAUUUCUUUUAAACUGGCUCUGUGUGUACUUGUCUUGUGGGUAUGUGUUUGAAGUAAGGUUGGGAGCGUCCCGUUUGGAACAUUUAUUGUAUAGUCAAACUUGAGCGAAUGUUGUAUCGGUAAAGAAUGAUUUUACUGUAUGAAAGAUACAGCAAACUAUUUUGAUUUAGUUAAUUUGUUCUAUCAUAUCAUUUUACUGCAAAGGUUCGCAUACAUUCCAUAAAUAUCCAUUGUGUUGUUUAAGAUAACAGUGUAGCGAAAGAUCACCUUCAUGGUUAAUAUAACACCUUGAUAUUCAUAACAUGUCCAACUUGUUCGCCAUCCAUCUGCCCCCCUAACUUGCAGAACAGCUCCAUGAGCAUUGACCAUAGCACAUGAUUUUUCUUUGUUCCUUUGGAGUAAGCUGCUCUAGACAAUCAGUUCAAAUACUGUGUUUGAACUGUCGUAGAGGUACACAUGCAUUCUACCAUGUCUACAGUGUUCUGCUGCUGUGAACAGAGAGACGUGAAUAUAUUGCUAUAUUUUGAACACCUUGCAAAUCAUUGGAGACUUUCCCAUUUUAGGAAGGAAAUGAAUCUGCCCUUUUUUAUAUAACUAAAAUAGUUAUUGUUUUCAAGUAUUGGAGUUUCUCCCACCCUGAAGUGAUAACUGCGCAGUGCAUUGAAAGCACCUCAGAUACAUAGCCGUGCAGUGGUUUAGCACAGGCUGGCUAGUGGACCCUGCCCACUCAGGCGCAUCGACCUGGGUAUGGUAUACCUAUAUAAGCUUACCAUAUAACAAUAACAAUUAUAUUUCAGUUUUAUCAGAUGCCACCUAAAGGGUUGACGCAACGAUGCUGCUAACCUAGAUGACAAAGUUAAUACACAAAAUGACAAUGGACUCGCCAUAGGAAAAAAAAGGCAUUCCACAAACAACCAAAUAUACACAGAUAUUUCCCUAAAAUGCAUGGAUAACCAAAUGCCGACCUAAACUAUUCAUAUGACGAUCCAUCAAUCGCAACAUAUUGAUGCACACCAUGCAUCUAUAAGGAAGGCAUCUACCUCAUAAGUAACACUGGUUUUGAAAGGCAAUGAGAACUAUUUUCUAAAGAAAAGUUUGAUGUAUAGUUAUGGCAGCAAUCGUACUGGACUCCCGCCGCCUGCUAGGCUCACUAUACCAAGAAUUCACUGAUACAAUCCUCUACUAGCCAUCUUUUUAUUAGGAAAGUGGCACACACCAGGGGGUAGCGCAUUGGAAUCUGCCGAACAGUUCGGGGCAAAUCCUGAUCCUGAAGAAAGCGUGAUCAGCAGAGGCUGAGUCCAGCCAUCUCCCAGUGAGAGGCUUGCAUUAUUUUCCUGUUGUUUUUUUAGCAAGUCUAAAACUGGCUCAUAAAGUUUACAAGCAUAUAGAAAAAUGAAUAUUUUAUGUUGUUCUUUUUUGGUUUUUUUUUUCAUUUUAAAAGCUGCUGGUAGGGAAUCCAUUUCACCCUUGACAUGAGUCAAACGGCACAUUUUCAUCAACCAAGUUUAUCACCUGUGAUAUGAGUCAAAACAAAUGCAGAUCAAAUGGAACUGGAGAUUGCUUCGCUGGCUGGACGUACUUCAUGCUCUAACAAUGCCUGUGCAGCGACCAAUCUCUUUGGUCCCUAAUGCACGAGAAAUAAGAAAAAGAUCAGCACAUAUUAACUUCACAAUAAGGAAAAUCGUGCCUGAAUAAUUGAAGUAGGGUCAUUCCAGCAAAUUCAGCAAUAUUAGGUAAAAUUGCAUUUGGAUAAGCGAAAAAGGCAUACAUGGAGAAGGAUAAAAGGAAGACAUAAGUAUUGAGCCCAUCUUGACGGACGGUUCAGAAUUACUCAGAUUUUGAAUAAUAAAGGUGGGACACUGACCAUGUUGAGGCAGGCUUCAUUUCUAACUGUGUCCAUCAUUGCUGUCCAAGGUAACCAUAUGUGACAAAAACUAACAAUAUCACUCACAAGUUACAGCAAUUCAGCUCAUCAUCUUCUAUGAGAAUAAUUCAUUCAUAUACUACUUGUACUGGGAUUAAAGAACGAAGCUGUUCAGAGUUUGCAUCCCAUUUUUCACUGAAGCUUCAUCUAUACCUAAUAUUAAAGGGAGGAAGAUUUUAUAGUUCUCCAUCCAUCACUCCUUCAUAUUCGUUAAUUUUAUGUUAACCACAUAGAUUGACGGCUGAGAUUUAAAAGAAUAAUCGUUGAUCGCAGUUCAGAAAUUUCAUCCCCACGUUAGUUCAUCCAUGCGCUUGGCUGUGUAUCCAGGUCGUAUACAACAAGAAAAGCUUGGUUGUGUCCGUGUCCAAGUCUCCAAGAUGGGGCUGCUGGAGGCUGUGACCGGGGAAGAUGAAAAGAAAGAUGAGGAGAUCAUCAUAGGGAUGGACGCGGGAAUCGAGCCACCACGAGGACAGUGUGGCACGAGGACGUGUCCAUGUGCUGCACUGGUGGAGAAGGAGGUGGAGAAGGAGGUGAAAGCGAGCUGGACUCAAGGUGACUCAUCCCGGCGAGCGUCUUACCGAGUGGGUCAUCGGGGUCGGUAAUGAGCAAGCGACCGAGCACCGCCGGCGGCGGCACGGCUAGGUUACCGUCGAGGCGACAAGGCGGCAUGCCAUCGCCUCUCCUGUCUCGCUACGAUGCAUCAGUUUGGGUCAUUACAACGGCAGCCUUGAGGGCGGCCCAUACCUUCCAGGGACGGGCCGACACUUGCCACACUAGGGAGCGAUCCCAUCCCGAUGUCACAAGUGCCGCCGCCGUCUGCCCCAACCCAAUCGCCGCCCAAAUCAAUCUCGGCCAGGCCCCACUGCUGAUGUGGCACCAUGGUACCCCCAGCACCGGUCCCCCGUUGCUCGAGUUCUUGUUGUGCCUCCCGCUUCUGCUGCCACUGCCCCUGGAUGUGUGACUAGGAUCCUCCAGCGCCAAACUUCACUUCACUGUCCGCACGCAGACGUCUGAGCUCCGCUGCUCACCUGCGCAGUCCCUGCACCUGCGGGUGUCGCCGCUCCCGGCCACCCUGGUGUGAUGUUGUGCAUGUGCGAGGCAGUGCUAGAAGCGUCGAUUGUGGUGGUACUGGUGGUGGAAAGCAUGCUCGUGGUAAUCAGGAUAGACAUGUUGUUGCCGCGCGCUCUCUCUCUCACUCACGACUAGAGGUAAAAGAAGGAGAAGCACAAUACACUAAAGUUUCAUCCGGCUGCACAUACAGCCCCCGCCCCCGUUACUAUUCCAAAAACACCAAACUCUGCUCAAUAAACACCCACUGGCAGCCGUGACUUUGUAGUCCGACAGCGACGCUACCCUCACGUUUCCUAGCUAGCUCUCCGCUGCAUGCAAACAAGCAAACCGGCCAUGCGCGCGACGCGGCCAGCUCCACCGGUCGCCGCUAACAGCCUGCUGACCAUCUAGCUAACUAACUCAUGCCGCUGACCAUCACGCCACACACAUACAACUACUACAAGUAGACACACUACACACGCGCGCACACACAUUUUGCCACGGCUUCCUCUGCGUCCCGCACGUCGCGCGCGCACUCGACACGCCCGAUGAGUCCGACACCAUUAAUGCGUCCCGCACGUCCCGCGCGUCCCGCGCGCACCCGACGCGCCCGGCGAGCCCGACACCACAGUGCGUCCUGCGCGAAUCCGUCGCGCCCGACGAGCCCGACCACACGCCUACACCGCGGUCCCGCCGCGCCUGACACGCCCGGCGCGCGCCCAUACACGCGCCCGACGCGCCCGACACUGGCGCCGCGGCUUAUUCCCCCCAACAUUGACCCCCUAAGCCGUGGCCUCGCCGCACGGCCUGCCGACAGGGGCCCUGACUCGUCGUCGUCGCCUUGUCGCCAUGUACGCCUCCGCUGCGUCUCCGGCACAAGCCGCCGCUCGCUGCCGCUGCCGCUGCAGCAGCCCGCAGUCCCGUGCGCCGCCACGCCGCGUCUUCGUGCCACGCGUCUCCACGGUUGUCGCACUGAGCCGUCGCGACCUCUGCGCCACCACGCAGGUCCUUCGCGACCUCUUCGUCUCCACGACCGCCGGGCCCUUCACGCACACGACAUCACACCACACAGCCAUGGACUCGCCGCGCAUUGCCGUCGCCAUGCGCUCGCCGCGCGCCGCAGCCGAUGCCUCCAUGUGGGCCGCGCGCCACGGCCGCCCCUUAAACCUUGUGGCUCUGAAUACCAAUUGUUGUUGCCGCUCUCACUCUCACCCAGGACUAGAGGUAGAAGAAGGAGGAGCACAAUACACUGAAGUUUCACCCGGCUGCACAUACAGCCCCGUUACUACUCCAAAAGCACCAAACUCUGCUCAAUAAACACACACUGACAGCCGUGACUUUGUAGUCCAACAGCGACGCAGCCCUCACGUUUCCUAGCUAGCUCUCCGCUGCAUGCAAACAAGCAAACCAGCCAUGCGCACCACGCGCGCUAUGUGCGCGACGCGGCCAGCUCCACCGGUCGCCGCUAACAGCCUGCUGACCAUCUAGCUAACUCGUGCCGCUGACCAUCACGCCACACACAUACAACUGCUACAAGAAGACACACUACACACGCAUGCACGCACAUUUUGCCACGGCUUCCUCUGCGUCCCGUACGUCCCGCGCGCACCCGACGUGCCUGACGAGCCCGACACCACCAAUACGUCCCGCACGUCCCGCGCGCACCCGACGCGCCCGACAAGCCCGACACAACCAGUGAGUACCGCACGUCCUGCGCGAAAUCCGUCGCACCCGACCAGCCCGACCACACACGCCUACACCGCGGUCCCGCCGCGCCUGACACGCCCAGUGCGCGCCCAUACACGCGCCCGACGCGUCCGACACUGACGCCGCGGCUUAUUCCAGCCAACAAGACAGGGUUUCUGUGUUAACACCGAUGGAGACGGCAAGGAAAGCAGGGAGAGGCGGGCGUGUCGGAGAAGGCGUCAGUUUCUGUCACAAGAUCGUUUCCCACCCCCAUUAACCGUGGCUGCUGAUGCUUUCCUCCGAGGAUAUCCAUCCAUGGCUCCCUUCUUUCUAACCUUUAUUCUCGAGUAUUACAAUUCGUGCCAUGCCCAACAAAACAUUGGUCCGUUGAUCUUUGUUUUAGAUAGCAGCGUCAUGUGGGUUAAUGAUUUUGGUGCAGAAUAAGUGAUGGCUGCCAGGCGUUGUGCUGUGUUUUACUCACUACAGUCUGCUCUACUACUUCCUCCGUCCCAUAAUAUAAGAACGUUUUUGACACUACACUAUUUAUGUGGCACAAUCUGCCGGGAAGGAAGCAGGAGAUGCCAUCGUAAAUUCGUAAUUAUGUUUGCACAUGACACUACUAGGAAAAGGCUAAUUAGUGGCGCACCUAUUUUGGGCAUUAAUGGCGCACUACAGGUGCGCCACUAGUAACUAGUACUAAUGGCGCACCUGGAAGUGCGUCAUUAGUAUGUCAAACGGUGCGCCAUUACUAUGCCUCCCAGGGGGUCAUAUUUACCUUGUGCUCUGGGUUACUAAUGGCGCACUUCUAGUUAAUGCGCCACUAGUAUGAAUAUUAGAAUUUUUCUUUUCUUUUCUGAUAUUUGCACAGGUUACAAAAUAUAUUACUGCACAAAUACAGACAACACAACAUAUAAACAGCAGAUUUAUCGAAUACAAUAGAAGAUUAGUCUCCGAAUACAAUUCAUCAUAUUAGUCUCCGAAUUCAAAAGACCGAACAAAGUUAGAACAUUACAAGUCUCGAGACCGCGAGUAGCGAGUUUGUCUUCACAUUACAAGUCGAUAUCGAUCAUCUAAACUACCAUCACAUAGAAGAGAGAUGCGGUCAUCACGAUGAGCAUCAUCGCGAUGAAACUGGUCUUCAUCCGGUUCCUCCUCCGCUCCCUCCUCUCUCCCGCUAGAUAGCGCGCGUAUCUAGCUUCCGCCUCCGCCCUAGUGGUGUACCCUUUGUAACUGUUACCGCUGAAACGGUGAACCUGUCUCCGACACACCUCCCAGUCGUCCUAGACUCCAGGAACCAUACCCUUGUACACGACAUACGACGGCAUCUCUAUGCGCUAGACAAACAAAACGUUAGUAGCAAUUCACAGACAAUACAUAAGUAAUAUAUAAGUAUGCAACAAAAGGAUCGAAAGAGAAAAGCAACACAUUAAUAGCACGAUUCAUGGUCCUACUAAUAAAUAGCAUCGAUUACAUAUAAGUUGAAUGACUGUCCAAACCAAAGAGACAUACAAGUUCAUUAAAGUUUAAUUACAACAUGAGCUAAUCGAUAUUUCAGAACUACAUAGCAUCACUACUUUCGACUCGACUCAGGGACCGGAGCAUGGAUGAAGCCACAGUCUUUCGUGAUGGUCAUGAAUGUGGGUUCGUUGUUAGCCUGCAUUUGUAGCGUUGUUUCUAUUUCACUGUUGGACGGUUGAUAUUUGAGGUAGAACUGCCCCGAGGUACGAAGGACAUCUUGAUGGAUAAUUUCUGCAAACUCCGACUGGAUGCGAAAUAAUUCUUGUCUGAGGUCCGCGUCCUGGAUUGCCGACAAGCGUGCGGCCCAAUCUUUGAGACUAUUUGGCAGCAGAAGGUGAUUAUGGCCCCUUCCAAUCGCCCGCAUGUGAUGGAGGGCGUAGUAGGCAUUCUUCUGACGACCAGGCGGCUGCUUGACGCAGGGGAACGUUGUUACGUGGGUGAACACGUGCUUGCCGUACCUAAAAAUUGGCCUCCUGAAGGUGCCUCCAGAUUUGGCGUAGCCGGGGAGAACAUCAUCAAGAACUUUUUCUUGAUAUUUGUGUAGUCUUUCUUCGACUAACGGUCCGAGUCGAAAUAUGUGGCCAUGGAAUAGUUCUGGCUUAAGAGGAUGAGUGUGCAAUGUGUGUCACUGCACAAAACACGGAAUGUUAGAAAAAAAAAGAACGGUCGAAAUCUAAGAAAUCAUAUGUUACGGGGCGGUGAGGGGAUGACAUACUCGGGAAAGUAAGGCACGAGGAAGUUAUCCUUAUCUGGGUUCGCCAGAAUGACGCCUUCGAGGUAUGAACUCACGAAUUGCCGGUCCCUAGCGCUGCCCAAGAUCUUGGCACGCAUGUAGAAGGGGUCGACUAUCACGAUGUCCGGGGUCUUGUCUCUAAUGAUCCGCAUCUCCAUACUCAGCAAAAAUAGCCGAACGAAGGUGUAGUGCAGCAGAUGAAGGUUAAACAUAGUAAAGAUGUCAUCAAACCGCAGGACGAUCAUACCCCCGAUGGUGCUAUCCACAAAACCCUUGCCCUCUAGCACCUUGGCCAGGAAAACCGGAUAUGCCACAUCAUUCUCGGAGAGACGCCGCUUCUCCAAAGAAAGAACACUGUCAUGCAGACUCCGCAUAGCACCGGUUGUAGCAUUGAGCAGAUUAGUCGGUAGCAUCGGCCUACCCGCCACAUGCACCCUCCUCGAGAUAUCCUUAGGUGAAGGUGGCCCGUCCUGAGCACGGAUCGUACUCGGUGCCGGCUGGCUCGCAGCCUUGUUAUUCUUUCUUUUCCAUCCCUUCUUCUUCUGCUGUAAUGGGAUCGAGUUUUGCUCAGAGACCGCCUUCUCGCGUGUGUUGGGGCUGAUAAUAUUUCGCACCUCGGCUAUCUGAGGCUCGGUGAAGGCGGCAGCUGGAGGCGUCUCCUAAGAACUGAACGCCAGACGACCCUGUUGCAAUUGGGUUUCUCCGCGGUACCAGCUAGAUCGCGAUCGUCUUUUGCAGGGUUGGGUUCUUGAGAAGGAGGCCCCAAGAAUUCGUCACCGUACCCAUGUUCGUUGAAGUACUUAUCGACGUUGGUAAAUGUACCAUCGUCGUUGUCGUCGUCGUCCGGAUCCUGUGCCAUAUGCAUGUCCGGAUCCUGUGCCAUAUGCAUGUCCGGCAUGUCCGGUAGCGUUGCGGCGGUCUUGCCAUGGCUUGGCGCCGGCACGACUGGCAGUGUUGUCUGUGGGGUGGUGUCCCCCGCCCCCAAACGAAUCUGGCUCUUCGGCCAAAGCAGGGGCCAGCUUAAGCAGGCGCUGAGGGUCAUCACAUCAUCUUCGUCGGCCCCAGGGGGUCGAAACAGAGGUAACAAGUCGUCGCAGCCCCGCAGCACCCGAACCAGUUGAACCCUAUACACGGUGGGUGGCAUCGGAUUACCGUGGAACACGCGGCUGCCCGGUUGAACGAUUCUGGCCUUGGCGACAUCGAUCAACUCGCCGUCCACGAAGUGCAGGAGAGUGCAUGGAACGUCGGCGGCGCCCUGCGGAAACAUGUAGGCCGUCAGGGAUGCCCAGUCAAAGGCAAGGAGAUGAAGUCACUACAAAAAAAAAA